Long non-coding RNA from Haliotis rubra (blacklip abalone), 111 nucleotides. RefSeq lists it as uncharacterized. The transcript has 3 exons. NCBI's taxonomy places the organism in Eukaryota, Metazoa, Mollusca, Gastropoda, Lepetellida, Haliotidae. The record is from RefSeq and is a predicted model, not a curated record.
GGUGGGGUAGCCUAGUGGUUAAAGCGAAUACCCGGGUUCGAUGUCCCCAAUGGGCACAAUGUAUGAAGCCCAUUUCUGGUGUCCCCCUGCGUGAUAUUGCUGGAAUGUUGC